Molecule: non-coding RNA, 125 nt
Organism: Nipponia nippon (crested ibis)
Lineage: Eukaryota; Metazoa; Chordata; Aves; Pelecaniformes; Threskiornithidae
Source: Rfam
GGGGUACAAAUACCCUCUUUGAAGGAACUAAAAAGCAAAUUGCUGGUCUGAAUAGAAGCCAAAUGGAAACUUGGUGGAAGAUGGGACAUUUAGAGUUUACGGAAGGUGGCAAAAAAGUGCUUUAA